UACGAGGGGGGCAAAUGUUGUUCGGAAUCACUGGGCGUAAAGGGAGCGUAGGCGGGUUUCUAAGUCAGGUGUUUAAUCCCGGGGCCCAACCCCGGACAGGCACUUGAAACUGGAAAUCUUGAAUAGUGGAGAGGUCAGUGGAAUUGGGGGUGUAGCGGUGGAAUGCGUAGAUAUCCGGAGGAACACCAGUGGCGAAAGCGGCCACCUGGACUGCACCUGACGCUGACACGCGAAAGCUAGGGGAGCGAACGGG
RNAcentral lists this ribosomal RNA (253 nucleotides) under uncultured bacterium. Its description in RNAcentral is "partial 16S ribosomal RNA". It matches the Rfam family "Bacterial small subunit ribosomal RNA", at positions 524 to 776 of the family's 1533-position model. The record is from RNAcentral.